AGAGUUUGAUCAUGGCUCAGGAUGAACGCUAGCUACAGGCUUAGCACAUGCAAGUCGAGGGGAAACGACAUCGAAAGCUUGCUUUUGAUGGGCGUCGACCGGCGCACGGGUGAGUAACGCGUAUCCAACCUGCCCACCACUUGGGGAUAACCUUGCGAAAGUAAGACUAAUACCCAAUGACGUCUCUAGAAGACAUCUGAAAGAGAUUAAAGAUUUAUCGGUGAUGGAUGGGGAUGCGUCUGAUUAGCUUGUUGGCGGGUAACGGCCACCAAGGCGACGAUCGAGUAGGGGUUCUGAGAGGAAGGUCCCCCANAUUGGAACUGAGACACGGUCCAAACGUCCUACGGGAGGCA
RNAcentral lists this ribosomal RNA (353 nucleotides) under uncultured bacterium. RNAcentral describes it as "bacterial SSU rRNA". It matches the Rfam family "Bacterial small subunit ribosomal RNA", at positions 8 to 350 of the family's 1533-position model. The record is from RNAcentral.